CUCCAAUAGCGUAUAUUAAAGUUGCUGCAGUUAAAAAGCUCGUAGUUGAAUUUCGGGAUCAAUAUGUUGGUCGUGCCUUGGUACGUACUAGCUUAUUGAUUUCUCCUUUCUGACGAACCAUGAUGUCAUUAAUUUGGUGUCGUGGGAAAUCAGGACUGUUACUUUGAAAAAAUUAGAGUGUUUAAAGCAGGCUCACGCUUGAAUACAUUAGCAUGGAAUAAUGAAAUAGGACGUUUGAUUCUAUUUUGUUGGUUUCUAGGAUCGACGUAAUGAUUAAUAGGGAUAGUUGGGGGUAUUAGUAUUCAAUUGUCAGAGGUGAAAUUCUUGGAUUUAUUGAAGACUAACUACUGCGAAAGCAUUUGCCAAGGAUGUUUUCAUUAAUCAAGAACGAAAGUUAGGGGAUCGAAGACGAUCAGAUACCGUCGUAGUCUUAACCAUAAACUAUGCCGACUAGGGA
Molecule: ribosomal RNA, 457 nt
Filed under: uncultured Glomus
Lineage: Eukaryota; Fungi; Glomeromycota; Glomeromycetes; Glomerales; Glomeraceae
Description: SSU rRNA
Rfam family: Eukaryotic small subunit ribosomal RNA
Source: RNAcentral